GAGUCUAGUGAUUGUAAAUCGGCAUUUGAUGCAAGGAUAGGGCUAAAGUUAGUCUUAUUUCAUACCUAUAUAACUGUGUUCCGAUAAUUUUGUAUCGAUUGCAUUAAGCAACAUUCACUCUUCACCAAAUUCAAGAACUCAAUAGAUUCAGCAGACUUUGCUCAAAAAGAUUCUCCCCUAGCAGUCAAUUUUACCUCUUUUCCCAAGUAAAUGGACUUCUGUACUACAAAAUAAAAAAAUGGGGACAUGUAAUUAGUUUCUAAUCGGUGGAUCUUGCUCAAUUCACAGAGGAAGUUCCUUCUUUCUAUUUGACAUAAACCAAUGGAGCUCUUUCACGAAUACAAUAUCCACAAUUU
This 356-nucleotide unclassified non-coding RNA is filed under the name Hevea brasiliensis (rubber tree). The record is from RNAcentral. Lineage: Eukaryota; Viridiplantae; Streptophyta; Magnoliopsida; Malpighiales; Euphorbiaceae.